GCAGAGUAGGUAAACGGCGUUAAGUGCCACAGAACGGGAUGUUGACUGUGGACGAAAGGAAAAUUCCUGCGGUCGUUUUCCGCAUCCG
Molecule: non-coding RNA, 88 nt
Filed under: bovine gut metagenome
Description: THF riboswitch
Rfam family: THF (Tetrahydrofolate) riboswitch aptamer
About the family: THF riboswitch presents a pseudoknot that joins P1-P2 and the loop of P3 and two THF binding.
Source: RNAcentral